This 63-nucleotide transfer RNA is filed under the name Beta vulgaris subsp. vulgaris (sugar beet). It matches the Rfam family "tRNA", at positions 8 to 63 of the family's 71-position model. From Rfam's summary of the family: Transfer RNA (tRNA) molecules are approximately 80 nucleotides in length. Their secondary structure includes four short double-helical elements and three loops (D, anti-codon, and T loops). Lineage: Eukaryota; Viridiplantae; Streptophyta; Magnoliopsida; Caryophyllales; Amaranthaceae. The record is from Rfam by way of RNAcentral.
UAGUUCAGCUGGGUAGAACAUGGGUCUCCAAAACCCGAUGUCGUAGGUUCAAAUCUAUCCUAC